RNAcentral lists this ribosomal RNA (255 nucleotides) under uncultured bacterium. RNAcentral's name for it is "partial 16S ribosomal RNA". It matches the Rfam family "Bacterial small subunit ribosomal RNA", at positions 524 to 776 of the family's 1533-position model. The record is from RNAcentral.
UACGUAGGACCCAAGCGUUAUCCGGAGUGACUGGGCGUAAAGAGUUGCGUAGGCGGCUUAAUAAGUGGAUAGUGAAACCUGGUGGCUCAACCAUUCAGACUAUUAUCCAAACUGUUAAGCUCGAGAAUGGUAGAGGUGGCUGGAAUUUCUAGUGUAGGAGUGAAAUCCGUAGAUAUUAGAAGGAACACCAAUGGCGUAGGCAGGCCACUGGACCAUUUCUGACGCUGAGGCACGAAAGCGUGGGGAGCGAACCGG